CACUAUCGUUAACUGAAUACAUAGGUUAACGAGGCGAACCGGGGGAACUGAAACAUCUAAGUACCCCGAGGAAAAGAAAUCAACCGAGAUUCCCCCAGUAGCGGCGAGCGAACGGGGAGCAGCCCAGAGUCUGAAUCAGCUUGUGUGUUAGUGGAACGGUCUGGAAAGUCCGACGGUACAGGGUGAUAGUCCCGUACACCAAAAUGCACAGGCUGUGAACUCGAAGAGUAGGGCGGGACACGUGGUAUCCUGUCUGAAUAUGGGGGGACCAUCCUCCAAGGCUAAAUACUCCUGACUGACCGAUAGUGAACCAGUACCGUGAGGGAAAGGCGAAAAGAACCCCGGCGAGGGGAGUGAAAAAGAACCUGAAACCGUGUACGUACAAGCAGUGGGAGCACCUUCGGGUGUGACUGCGUACCUUUUGUAUAAUGGGUCAGCGACUUAUAUUCUGUAGCAAGGUUAACCGUAUAGGGGAGCCGCAGGGAAACCGAGUCUUAACUGGGCGUUAAGUUGCAGGGUAUAGACCCGAAACCCGGUGAUCUAGCCAUGGGCAGGUUGAAGGUUGGGUAACACUAACUGGAGGACCGAACCGACUAAUGUUGAAAAAUUAGCGGAUGACUUGUGGCUGGGGGUGAAAGGCCAAUCAAACCGGGAGAUAGCUGGUUCUCCCCGAAAGCUAUUUAGGUAGCGCCUCGUGAACUCAUCUUCGGGGGUAGAGCACUGUUUCGGCUAGGGGGUCAUCCCGACUUACCAACCCGAUGCAAACUACGAAUACCGAAGAAUGUUAUCACGGGAGACACACGGCGGGUGCUAACGUCCGUCGUGAAGAGGGAAACAACCCAGACCGCCAGCUAAGGUCCCAAAGUCAUGGUUAAGUGGGAAACGAUGUGGGAAGGCACAGACAGCCAGGAUGUUGGCUUAGAAGCAGCCAUCAUUUAAAGAAAGCGUAAUAGCUCACUGGUCGAGUCGGCCUGCGCGGAAGAUGUAACGGGGCUAAACCAUGCACCGAAGCUGCGGCAGCGACACUAUGUGUUGUUGGGUAGGGGAGCGUUCUGUAAGCCUGCGAAGGUGACCUGUGAGGGUUGCUGGAGGUAUCAGAAGUGCGAAUGCUGACAUAAGUAACGAUAAAGCGGGUGAAAAGCCCGCUCGCCGGAAGACCAAGGGUUCCUGUCCAACGUUAAUCGGGGCAGGGUGAGUCGACCCCUAAGGCGAGGCCGAAAGGCGUAGUCGAUGGGAAACAGGUUAAUAUUCCUGUACUUGGUGUUACUGCGAAGGGGGGACGGAGAAGGCUAUGUUAGCCGGGCGACGGUUGUCCCGGUUUAAGCAUGUAGGCUGGUU
RNAcentral lists this ribosomal RNA (1338 nucleotides) under Acinetobacter baumannii. RNAcentral describes it as "partial 23S ribosomal RNA". It matches the Rfam family "Bacterial large subunit ribosomal RNA", at positions 146 to 1530 of the family's 2925-position model. RNAcentral also lists the same sequence under 2 other names. The record is from RNAcentral. Lineage: Bacteria; Pseudomonadati; Pseudomonadota; Gammaproteobacteria; Moraxellales; Moraxellaceae.